Molecule: ribosomal RNA, 468 nt
Filed under: uncultured bacterium
Lineage: Bacteria
Description: partial 16S ribosomal RNA
Rfam family: Bacterial small subunit ribosomal RNA
Source: RNAcentral
GACGAACGCUGGCGGCGUGCUUAACACAUGCAAGUCGAACGGCAAGACCCUGCUUUCGUGCGCUGCCCGAGUGCCGAACGCGUGAGUAACACGUAAGUAACCUGCCCUUCACUUUCGGAUAACUUCACGAAACUGGGGCUACUACCGGACAGGAGCUCCUCCUGCAUGGUGGGGGUUGGAACGUUUCGGCGGUCGGGGAUGGACUCGCGGCUUACCAGCUUGCUGGUGGGGUAGUGGCUUACCAAGCCUUUGACGGGUAGGCGGCCUGUGAGGGUGAACGGCCACAUUAGGACUAAGGGAGGGCGCAGACGCCUACGGUGGACAGCGGGGGGGAGUAUUGCACAGUGAGCGGAAGCCUGUGGCGACGGCGCUGCGGGCGUGAUGACGUCCUGUGGGGUGUAAACCGCUGUCGCCUGUGACGACGCGGGAGUGACGGUAAUGGAUGAAGAAGCACCGGCUAACUACGUG